RNAcentral lists this long non-coding RNA (1025 nucleotides) under Struthio camelus australis. Its description in RNAcentral is "lncRNA (ENSSCUG00000007950.1)". The record is from RNAcentral. Lineage: Eukaryota; Metazoa; Chordata; Aves; Struthioniformes; Struthionidae.
UCUCAAUCCCUUAAUAUUUGCAACUUCUUCACCAUAAUAUAUAUAUACACAUAUACAUACUCCUACUUUAUGUAAAAAAGCAGUGCAUUUGCAUACUGUGUAUUAAUCAGAGAUUUCAAAAUGUUCUAGAAAUGUAUACAGUGAAGAUUCACAAGGUGAUCUAACGUAAAUGAGUGAAAUCAUUUCUGUUUCAGAAAAGGGAGGCAGCAAAGGAUGAAAACUAAAUCUGACAAACAUGAGUCACACACCGAUUGCGAGCACAGUGACAUCCGAAAUUGGAACAGAGAGCUGCUGGGAACGGCCCAUUUAUGGAAAGGAAAUCCAGAGCAACCAUGAACCAAGGCAUACAACGGUAUGGACUACUGAGCCAAAAUCCAUCUGACUGAAUUCACAUGUGGAGAAACUACACGUGGACUUCUUAUACCUAACUAGCAAACUUUCAUUUUCUUCACUGAGGAACUGUUUAUGUCCAAAAAGUCCAGGACAAGCAAACAUUAGUCACUCUCCUGGAGAAGGUUUCUUGUCCCAAUCUGUUCUGAGUGUGUUAAUGAGAACAGGUGUUCCUCCCUGAAAAAAUCAGACUAGAGAAGGGUGAGGAUGCUUAAAAAACACUUCACAUUCUUUUUCCCCACUUCCUCUUACUCAGGGGAGCGUCACACCCUUUCAAUCAUUGUAUAUUGUCGACCUUGACACUUCGUAAAGCCCUGUUUCACUUUCUAGCCUUUCAGCACUGGGCUUGCUUCACACAUUCCGGCUCAAACCCAUGCUCUUCUGCUGCCUCUUGACGGAAGAAGCCGCGAAGGCAUCGGCUCAGAGGAAGUUGUGGGGUGCCUGAGAUUAGAGGCUAUUUUGGAGCAGCACAACCUUUGGGGCUGACCCUUUCGACAGCUGAACUGUUCCCUGGAGUUGCUUCGUACCCUCGGCUACCGCUGGCAUCAACUGCACUCACGUUCCUGCCUGAUCUGCUCAGUGCCGUGGAUGGGAAAGGGCCUCUCUUUGCUCUCUGGGCGUUUUUUAUCCCUCCA